AAUCAACGCUGGCGGCGUGCCUCAGACAUGCAAGUCGAACGCUGCUGUUCGCCUUCGGGUGGACAGCGGAGUGGCGCACGGGUGAGUAACACGUAGGUAAUCUACCUUUGGGUGGGGAAUAACAGCCGGAAACGGCUGCUAAUACCGCAUAAUGCAGCGGCAUCACAUGAUGACAGUUGUUAAAGCGAGGGAUCGUAAGACCUCGCGCCUGAAGAGGAGCCUGCGGCAGAUUAGGUAGUUGGUGAGGUAAUGGCUCACCAAGCCUGCGAUCUGUAACCGGCUGGAGAGGGCGGUCGGUCACACUGACACUGACAGUACGGGUCAGACUCCUACGGGAGCAGCAGUCGGGAAUUUUGGGCAAUGGGCGC
RNAcentral lists this ribosomal RNA (368 nucleotides) under uncultured bacterium. RNAcentral describes it as "bacterial SSU rRNA". It matches the Rfam family "Bacterial small subunit ribosomal RNA", at positions 32 to 378 of the family's 1533-position model. The record is from RNAcentral.